Molecule: long non-coding RNA, 281 nt
Organism: Patiria miniata (bat star)
Lineage: Eukaryota; Metazoa; Echinodermata; Asteroidea; Valvatida; Asterinidae
Exons: 2
Source: RefSeq, a predicted model, not a curated record
CCUGCCCAGGUUCCAAUCUGAAGUCCAUCCAGAUGAUCCUUAAUAAGACAGCAGACGGUACAGGCAUAGACUCCAACACCCUGGCCUUACAGAUGAAGGGCCAUCCUGAGCUGAGGGACAAGCUUCAUGUCGUCACCUCUUGAGGGCCUUUGCCUGUCUACCCUGGGGUGGUCAACUCAGAAUUACCUGAGGAUCUCAAGACAUCUAUCACCAGGCAUCUUCUCAACAUGCAUCUCGACCCCAAAUGGCAAGCUCAACUGAACCAAUACAUGGUGUCCAAA